GCCUGGCUGGCUCAGUUGAGAGAGCAUCUGACUCUUGAUCUCAGGGUCAUGAGUUUGAGUCCCAUGUUAGGUG
This 73-nucleotide transfer RNA is filed under the name Ursus americanus (American black bear). It matches the Rfam family "tRNA". From Rfam's summary of the family: Transfer RNA (tRNA) molecules are approximately 80 nucleotides in length. Their secondary structure includes four short double-helical elements and three loops (D, anti-codon, and T loops). The record is from Rfam by way of RNAcentral. Lineage: Eukaryota; Metazoa; Chordata; Mammalia; Carnivora; Ursidae. RNAcentral also lists the same sequence under 2 other names.